UACGUAGGGUGCAAGCGUUGUCCGGAAUUAUUGGGCGUAAAGAGCUUGUAGGCGGUUUGUCGCGUCUGCUGUGAAAUUUCGGGGCUCAACCCGGAACUUGCAGUGGGUACGGGCAGACUAGAGUGUGGUAGGGGAGACUGGAAUUCCUGGUGUAGCGGUGAAAUGCGCAGAUAUCAGGAGGAACACCGAUGGCGAAGGCAGGUCUCUGGGCCAUAAUGGACGCUGAGAAGCGAAAGCAUGGGGAGCGAACAGG
RNAcentral lists this ribosomal RNA (253 nucleotides) under uncultured bacterium. RNAcentral's name for it is "partial 16S ribosomal RNA". It matches the Rfam family "Bacterial small subunit ribosomal RNA", at positions 524 to 776 of the family's 1533-position model. The record is from RNAcentral.